This 253-nucleotide ribosomal RNA is filed under the name uncultured Eubacteriales bacterium. RNAcentral describes it as "uncultured Clostridiales bacterium partial 16S ribosomal RNA". It matches the Rfam family "Bacterial small subunit ribosomal RNA", at positions 524 to 776 of the family's 1533-position model. Lineage: Bacteria; Bacillati; Bacillota; Clostridia; Eubacteriales. The record is from RNAcentral.
UACGGAGGAUGCGAGCGUUAUCCGGAUUUACUGGGUGUAAAGGGAGCGCAGGCGGCGUGGCAAGUCAGAUGUGAAAACCCGGGGCCCAACCCCGGGAGUGCAUUUGAAACUGCCAUGCUGGAGUGCCGGAGAGGUAAGCGGAAUUCCUAGUGUAGCGGUGAAAUGCGUAGAUAUCACGAAGAACUCCGAUUGCGAAGGCAGCUCACUGGACUGCAACUGACACUGAGGCUCGAAAGUGUGGGUAUCAAACAGG